UUAAUAUUUACUAAAGAAAUUGUUGUCCAAUGUUUACCAGUAAAUACUGGCAUGGCUGGUAAGUUGACAGUAUAUUUACUGGUAAUUAACAUUGGACAUAAACAUUUUCAGUCAACAUUGCUCAGAAUAAUUCCAACUGCCAGUUGCAGUAAAAAUAAUAAUCUAAACAUUUUAUUUAGAUCAUAGAUCAUGAACAGGAUUUUUUUUUUAAUAUUUUCGUUAUGUAAAGUACAAGUAUUAGUUCACAAUUGGUAAAAUAUUAUACAACAUAAUCCUCAAAAAGGAAGAGAUACUUGACUUCGAUUAUAUAGACAUUGCAGCUGUCGCCAGGUCGCUACAAGGGGAGAUAAAAGCGCGCAUUUCCGGUAUUGUCAGAAUUCGCCAUGUUGGUUUUUUCCGGUCCAGCACGGUGUGGUGUGAUAAGUUCAUGUGACAAACUGCACAGUUCCGAUUUAAUUUGAAGGCCACUUAUUUUUCACUGAAAGGUACAUUAUUGGUGUAUUGAAGAAGAAGAAGAAGCAGCAGGGGCGGGGGAUAAAUUCAUGUUAACUGGUGGGGAAAUUAAGGCGGACAUUGAUGAUGGCUCUUUAACUUUUGACGACACAUCAUAAGGAACCUCCAGGAUCAAAGACAAGUAGAGUAAAAGAUAUAAAUUGUAAUUAUGUGUUCUGUUAUUUUUGUUUCACAUUUUAAGAACAGACUAUAGAAUAAGAGUUAUUCCCCUUCCUUUAUGAACAUUAAAUUUUUUUGUUGGUUUUAAAUUGGGUUAUUUCCCUUGGUGAUCAUAAUCCACUGCCAGACCCAUAUAUUCAAAUGCAAAUUAACAAUGAUCUACAUUCAAUGAAUCAAAAUAUUUGUUACUUAUCACAUU
Long non-coding RNA from Mizuhopecten yessoensis (Yesso scallop), 871 nucleotides. RefSeq lists it as uncharacterized. The transcript has 4 exons. NCBI's taxonomy places the organism in Eukaryota, Metazoa, Mollusca, Bivalvia, Pectinida, Pectinidae. The record is from RefSeq and is a predicted model, not a curated record.